UACGGGGGGGGCAAGCGUUGUUCGGAAUUACUGGGCGUAAAGGGCUCGUAGGCGGCCAACUAAGUCAGACGUGAAAUCCCUCGGCUUAACCGGGGAACUGCGUCUGAUACUGGAUGGCUCGAGUUUGGGAGAGGGAUGCGGAAUUCCAGGUGUAGCGGUGAAAUGCGUAGAUAUCUGGAGGAACACCGGUGGCGAAGGCGGCAUCCUGGACCGGUAUUGACGCUGAGGCGCGAAAGCUAGGGUAGCAAACGGG
Molecule: ribosomal RNA, 253 nt
Filed under: uncultured bacterium
Lineage: Bacteria
Description: partial 16S ribosomal RNA
Rfam family: Bacterial small subunit ribosomal RNA
Source: RNAcentral